Molecule: small nucleolar RNA, 130 nt
Organism: Microcebus murinus (gray mouse lemur)
Lineage: Eukaryota; Metazoa; Chordata; Mammalia; Primates; Cheirogaleidae
Source: Ensembl
AUCGAGGCUAAAGUCACACUUAGGUAUUGGUUAUUGCCGUAGUGUGCUAGAGUCUUCAAAGAGUAACUGCUGAACUUAUUCAUUGGCUGUGGCCCUCAUGGCAUAUUCAGUUACCAGGUUAGUGACAUGC